This 684-nucleotide ribosomal RNA is filed under the name uncultured Fusobacteriota bacterium. RNAcentral describes it as "bacterial SSU rRNA". It matches the Rfam family "Bacterial small subunit ribosomal RNA", at positions 69 to 776 of the family's 1533-position model. Lineage: Bacteria; Fusobacteriati; Fusobacteriota. The record is from RNAcentral.
CGAGUCUUCGGACUUGGGUGGCGCACGGGUGAGUAACGCGUAAAGAACUUGCCUCUUAGACCGGGACAACAUCUGGAAACGGAUGCUAAUACCGGAUAUUAUGGUUUUUUCGCAUGGAGGAAUCAUGAAAGCUAGAUGCGCUAAGAGAGAGCUUUGCGUCCCAUUAGCUGGUUGGUGAGGUAACGGCCCACCAAGGCAAUGAUGGGUAGCCGGCCUGAGAGGGUGAACGGCCACAAGGGGACUGAGACACGGCCCUUACUCCUACGGGAGGCAGCAGUGGGGAAUAUUGGACAAUGGACCGCAAGUCUGAUCCAGCAAUUCUGUGUGCACGAUGACGUUUUUCGGAAUGUAAAGUGCUUUCAGUCGGGAAGAAGUCAGUGACGGUACCGACAGAAGAAGCGACGGCUAAAUACGUGCCAGCAGCCGCGGUAAUACGUAUGUCGCAAGCGUUAUCCGGAUUUAUUGGGCGUAAAGCGCGUCUAGGCGGCAAGGAAAGUCUGAUGUGAAAAUGCGGAGCUCAACUCCGUAUGGCGUUGGAAACUGCCUUACUAGAGUACUGGAGAGGUAGGCGGAACUACAAGUGUAGAGGUGAAAUUCGUAGAUAUUUGUAGGAAUGCCGAUGGGGAAGCCAGCCUACUGGACAGAUACUGACGCUAAAGCGCGAAAGCGUGGGUAGCAAACAGG